RNAcentral lists this ribosomal RNA (444 nucleotides) under Holothuria mammata. RNAcentral's name for it is "partial 16S ribosomal RNA". It matches the Rfam family "Bacterial large subunit ribosomal RNA", at positions 1963 to 2621 of the family's 2925-position model. The record is from RNAcentral. Lineage: Eukaryota; Metazoa; Echinodermata; Holothuroidea; Aspidochirotida; Holothuriidae.
AAUCAUUUGUCUUUUAAAUGAAGACUUGUAUGAACGGCAAAACCUCCUCCAACUGUCUCCCCUCCCAUCCUUCCAAAUUUCCUCCUGUGUGAAGAAGCACAGAUACACCAGAAAGACGAGAAGACCCUGUCGAGCUUUAACCACUAAGUGGGCCUUACCCUUUUAGGCACCACCCAAAGGUUUUGGUUGGGGCAACCACGGAGAAAAAACAUCCUCCAGAACGAAUAGAAGAAAGCUUUUCACUAUUAUUACGACUAAGAACCAGGAACUGGUAUUCGGAAAGAGUUACCGCAGGGAUAACAGCGUCAUCUCCUCUAAGAGUCCUUAUUGACGAGGAGGUUUGCGACCUCGAUGUUGGAUUGGGGCCCCCUUAGGGUGCAGAAGCUCUAAACGGUUAGACUGUUCGUCUAUUAAAGCCCUACAUGAUCUGAGUUCAAACCGGAG